GACAGAGGCCCCAAGCGUUAGUCGGAAUUACUGGGCUUAAAGGGUGCGUAGGCGGGCGCGUAAGUGUUCUGUGAAAUCCCCGGGCUCAACCCGGGAACCGCAGGGCAUACUGCGCGUCUCGAGGAAGCUAGAGGCCGGCGGAACGAUCGGUGGAGCGGUGGAAUGCGUAGAGAUCGAUCGGAACGCCAAGGGUGAAGACAGCCGGCUGGGGCUUUCCUGACGCUGAGGCACGAAGGCCAGGGGAGCAAACGGG
RNAcentral lists this ribosomal RNA (253 nucleotides) under uncultured bacterium. RNAcentral describes it as "partial 16S ribosomal RNA". It matches the Rfam family "Bacterial small subunit ribosomal RNA", at positions 524 to 776 of the family's 1533-position model. The record is from RNAcentral.